CGACGGCAGCACGGGAGCAAUCCUGGUGGCGAGUGGCGAACGGGUGAGUAAUGUAUCGGAACGUACCUUUCAGUGGGGGAUAACGUAGCGAAAGUUACGCUAAUACCGCAUAUUCUGUGAGCAGGAAAGCAGGGGAUCGCAAGACCUUGCGCUGAUUGAGCGGCCGAUAUCAGAUUAGCUAGUUGGUGAGGUAAAGGCUCACCAAGGCGACGAUCUGUAGCGGGUCUGAGAGGAUGAUCCGCCACACUGGAACUGAGACACGGUCCAGACUCCUACGGGAGGCAGCAGUGGGGAAUUUUGGACAAUGGGCGCAAGCCUGAUCCAGCCAUGCCGCGUGAGUGAAGAAGGCCUUCGGGUUGUAAAGCUCUUUCAGCCGGGAAGAAAACGCAUGGGUUAAUACCCUGUGUGGAUGACGGUACCGGAAUAAGAAGCACCGGCUAACUACGUGCCAGCAGCCGCGGUAAUACGUAGGGUGCGAGCGUUAAUCGGAAUUACUGGGCGUAUAGCGUGCGCAGGCGGUUUGUUAAGAUAGGCGUGAAAUCCCCGGGCUCAACCUGGGAACUGCGUUUAUGACUGGCAGGCUAGAGUAUGGCAGAGGGGGGUGGAAUUCCACGUGUAGCAGUGAAAUGCGUAGAGAUGUGGAGGAACACCGAUGGCGAAGGCAGCCCCCUGGGCCAAUACUGACGCUCAUGCA
Molecule: ribosomal RNA, 694 nt
Filed under: uncultured bacterium
Lineage: Bacteria
Description: bacterial SSU rRNA
Rfam family: Bacterial small subunit ribosomal RNA
Source: RNAcentral